Nothobranchius furzeri (turquoise killifish) is the source of this 378-nucleotide non-coding RNA. Lineage: Eukaryota; Metazoa; Chordata; Actinopteri; Cyprinodontiformes; Nothobranchiidae. The record is from RefSeq and is a predicted model, not a curated record.
CAUACUGAAGAAAGCGGCAGUACACAACUAGAGUCCAUUCAGACUGGCGUUGUUUUCUAAAGGCAUGGACAAAGAUUUGCCUUCUGGACAGAAGAAUUAUCCCUUUUCCUCCAGGGGACUCUCCAGCCUGUCUUCAGGGUACCAAAGGCAACCUCCUCCAAGCCUUCACCAAGUCUAAUCAGACCGGCUGAGGCUGACAGGUGUCUUAUACUGGAGUUGCCAGAACGUGUCCUCAUGGACAUAUUGGAAGAGGUUGCUCUUCAUGAAGGGGAUACAGCAAUCUUCAAACUGGCUCUGGUGUGCUCCAUGUUCAGAGACCUUGUGUCUACUGAAUAUUUCAGAAGACGAGCACACUUCAAGUGGCUUCACAGUGAGGAC